Molecule: ribosomal RNA, 654 nt
Filed under: uncultured archaeon
Lineage: Archaea
Description: bacterial SSU rRNA
Rfam family: Archaeal small subunit ribosomal RNA
Source: RNAcentral
GCCUAAAGCGUCCGUAGCCGGCUCUGUUAGUUUUCGGUUAAAUCCAUAUGCUCAACAUAUGGGCCGCCGGGAAUACUACAAAGCUAGGGAGUGGGAGAGGUAGACGGUACUCCGUAGGAAGGGGUAAAAUCCUUUGAUCUAUGGAUGACCACCAGUGGCGAAGGCGGUCUACCAGAACACGUUCGACGGUGAGGGAUGAAAGCUGGGGGAGCAAACCGGAUUAGAUACCCGGGUAGUCCCAGCUGUAAACUAUGCAAACUCAGUGAUGCAUUGGCUUGUGGCCAGUGCAGUGCCGCAGAGAAGUCGUUAAGUUUGCCGCCUGGGAAGUACGUACGCAAGUAUGAAACUUAAAGGAAUUGGCGGGGGAGCACCACAAGGGGUGAAGCCUGCGGUUCAAUUGGAGUCAACGCCAGAAAUCUUACCCGGAGAGACAGCAGAAUGAAGGUCAAGUUGAAGCCUUUACCAGACAAGCUGAGAAGUGGUGCAUGGCCGUCGCCAGCUCGUGCCGUGAGGUGUCCUGUUAAGCCAGGUAACGAGCGAGAUCCUUGCCUCUAGUUGCUACCAUUACUCUCAGGAGUAGUGGGGCGAAUUAGCGGGACUGCCGUAGUUAAUACGGAGGAAGGAGAGGGCCACGGCAGGUCAGUAUGCCCCGAA